GCAACCUCAAGCUGGCGCACGGCAACACGGUGGUGUUCCGCUCGCUGCUGGGCAUUUCGUGGAUGUGGUUCUUCGGCGCCACCUUCCUGUCGCAGUUCCCGAGCUUCGCCAAGGAGGUGCUG
Molecule: non-coding RNA, 122 nt
Filed under: Pseudacidovorax intermedius
Lineage: Bacteria; Pseudomonadati; Pseudomonadota; Betaproteobacteria; Burkholderiales; Comamonadaceae
Description: Burkholderia RNA 11
Rfam family: Burkholderia RNA 11
About the family: Co-purified with Hfq, expression confirmed by Northern blot. Predicted target marZ. Overlaps coding sequence.
Source: Rfam by way of RNAcentral